GACGAACGCUGGCGGCGUGCUUAACACAUGCAAGUCGAACGGAAAGGCCCUGCUUUUGUGGGGUGCUCGAGUGGCGAACGGGUGAGUAACACGUGAGUAACCUGCCCUUGACUUUGGGGUAACUUCAGGAAACUGGGGCUAAUACCGGAUAGGAGCUCCUGCUGCAUGGUGGGGGUUGGAAAGUUUCGGCGGUUGGGGAUGGACUCGCGGCUUAUCAGCUUGUUGGUGGGGUAGUGGCUUACCAAGGCUUUGACGGGUAGCCGGCCUGAGAGGGUGACCGGCCACAUUGGGACUGAGAUACGGACCAGACUCCUACGGGAGGCAGCAGGGGGGAAUAUUGCACAAUGGGCGGAAGCCUGAUGCAGCAACGCCGCGUGCGGGAUGACGGCCUUCGGGUUGUAAACCGCUUUCGCCUGUGACGAAGCGUGAGUGACGGUAAUGGGUAAAGAAGCACCGGCUAACUACGUG
This 468-nucleotide ribosomal RNA is filed under the name uncultured bacterium. Its description in RNAcentral is "partial 16S ribosomal RNA". It matches the Rfam family "Bacterial small subunit ribosomal RNA", at positions 28 to 507 of the family's 1533-position model. The record is from RNAcentral.